Molecule: ribosomal RNA, 468 nt
Filed under: uncultured bacterium
Lineage: Bacteria
Description: partial 16S ribosomal RNA
Rfam family: Bacterial small subunit ribosomal RNA
Source: RNAcentral
GACGAACGCUGGCGGCGUGCUUAACACAUGCAAGUCGAACGGAAAGGCCCUGCUUUUGUGGGGUGCUCGAGUGGCGAACGGGUGAGUAACACGUGAGUAACCUGCCCUUGACUUUGGGAUAACUUCAGGAAACUGGGGCUAAUACCGGAUAGGAGCUCCUGCUGCAUGGUGGGGGUUGGAAAGUUUCGGCGGUUGGGGAUGGACUGGCGGCUUAUCAGCUUGUUGGUGGGGUAGUGGCUUACCAAGGCUUUGACGGGUAGCCGGCCUGAGAGGGUGACCGGCCACAUUGGGACUGAGAUACGGCCCAGACUCCUACGGGAGGCAGCGGUGGGGAAUAUUGCACAAUGGGCGGAAGCCUGAUGCAGCAACGCCGCGUGCGGGAUGACGGCCUUCGGGUUGUAAACCGCUUUCGCCUGUGACGAAGCGUGAGUGACGGUAAUGGGUAAAGAAGCACCGGCUAACUACGUG